Molecule: non-coding RNA, 258 nt
Organism: Paralichthys olivaceus (Japanese flounder)
Lineage: Eukaryota; Metazoa; Chordata; Actinopteri; Pleuronectiformes; Paralichthyidae
Source: RefSeq, a predicted model, not a curated record
CAGUCUGGAGACGCCAGCUGUUCACCACCACAACCACCAGAGGACACUGAUCAUGCAGAGAAGAGAGCACCACAGAGCUGAGUUUAAAGUCUUGUCAUCGAUGUGUCAGGUAUCAUCAAGUGUGGAGAAAACCCUUUUAUGGAAGCAGCAGUGAAAGAGAAGAAUACAGGAGGGAGCUGCGAGAACAGUUAAAGAGGCAGAUGGAGGAGAAAUGUGCGGCACUGAAACUGCAGCUGGUCGGUAAAGUGAAGGAAUCAG